UUCCAUUGUUGAAAAAUCCAUUGAAUUCUCUCUGUUCAUUUGAAUUAAAACCGGUCUCUUAUCCCCUUCCUCCUAAAAAGAAAUCAUUCUUUUUCUGUAGAGAUGGCCAGCAAUUUACAAGCUGCUGCUAAGAUUGCUACCAAUGAGGUUAUUAUUAUUUCUUCUACUUCUGGCAAUGGACAAAACACACUUUCUAUGGUCAACGAAGUUGAUCUUAAUAAUCUAAACAAUGAGCAAAUGCUCCAGUAUAUCAAAAGAUUGUAGGCUACUCUGGAGCAGUACAAAACUCGAGGGAAGGCGUCAUUCAUGGCUUCUAG
RNAcentral lists this long non-coding RNA (317 nucleotides) under Manihot esculenta (cassava). RNAcentral's name for it is "long non-coding RNA (MESC_LNC010688)". Lineage: Eukaryota; Viridiplantae; Streptophyta; Magnoliopsida; Malpighiales; Euphorbiaceae. The record is from RNAcentral.